UUAUAACAAAAGUGUAAAAGUCCGCUUGUGGAACUAGUACUUUUUUCAUCAAUAUUAAUGAAUUAUUCACUUAAACAAGCUCUUGUAUCUUCCUGAUAAGUUGCUUGAGUCUUAUUUCAAGUUUGGUAAAAGACUCAUAGUAAAACCUAGAUACUAUAAAACCCCUUGUAAGCUUCUGUGUUUUUGCAUUGUAACAGGUUAAUUACUGUCAGAACUGAUUUCUGUAAUAAUAAAAUAAAAAAAAACUGGAAAGAGCAGCUCAGUGUUGAGAGCAGGCCUUGAAUCACACGAAAAAAGAAAAGUAUGGAGAAUAAAAAGGUCAAAUUAUUCAGAAUAAGUUCUACUUCAGUUCAUCAUCCAAAUUCCUGGGGUUUUGUUCAAAUUUGUAUUUUUUUGUUUCCCCCACAAAACGCUCUCCGUUCAGUCCAUUUUCUCGUAAAGCAGAGCACACGUCGAUCCAUUUUAACAGACUUCUCACACGUUCCCAGGCAGCUGCUAUCUAACCGGAGUGCCGCGCUUUGCCCCCCUCUCCUCGUCGUAUUUAGCCUCUUUGGCGCUGCAGAGAGGCAGCGGGCACCGCGACUCUCAACCUCUCAUCUCUGAAGAGCUCUCGUGGUUUUCCACAGCAGCACGAAGCGCCACGAACGCAGCUGCCGCUUCACACCCGAUCACCAGGAGGCCUCGCCCGCCUAAUGAAUAAAUUAUCCAGUUUUACAGAUGUUUCCAAGCCCUGCUGCACUGUAAAGCUCCUCGCAGAGGCUCCAGCUUGAAGAGCUCGUCCAAGGCCGCUACCAAAGCUGUGAAGGGAGCGGCGGUGACCGGCCCCCGCCGGACCGAUGACUUGUUGUUUAUGGUCGCCUCCCUGGGCCAACCGGCUGCCACUGUACCCCAGCUGGACCCGUCCUGUGAACCGACCAUUGACCUCACCAAAGCCCCGUCGUCUUACAACCAACCUGUGGUUGUGGUUUCACUGGUGGCCCACUUUGAGGGCUGACACUUGGCUAUUGCCGUGAAAACUUCAAAUCCCUGUCCGGGAAGUCAUUAACAAUGUUGUAGGGCUCCGGACAUCAUCUCUGCCUCGGCCUGCCUGGUGGUAGACUGGUAACUAAGGGAAACCGUGAAAUGCCUCUGGACAACGUGAGCAAAAACCCACUGCAGUGAACACACAGAAGCUUUGAGGCCUUUGUUUAUCUGCAGAACACUUGACUUUUAAACUUUUCUUUCAAAGAAGCAAACAAAAAAGGAGAAUUAUCUGGAUCAUUCAAAGGGCCUUAUGUGUUUUGAAGAUGAACAUUGACCGAGGUAUAUUUUUCAAUUGAUUUGUUACUGACAGCACAAGAAGAACCUGGGCAGUUUAUGACCCAAAGUAUUUUAAAGUUUUGUUACUCAGAGGUAAAGUUUUGAAGAAAUGUUUGAGCACAAGAAAAAUACUCUACAAAUGAUUUUAGACCUUAAAUUUUUUUAAGCUUUUAACUUGCUGCAAUUUCACGGAAGGACUUCGACCUGCAUCAAACAACCUGGUUCUAAAUGUAGAGUAAUUAGGGACUUACUCUACAUGUAGCACUGCUGAUGUAGCAUGGUAACAACAUUAAAGUUCCUCUGGUGCAACAUGG
Molecule: non-coding RNA, 1613 nt
Organism: Poecilia reticulata (guppy)
Lineage: Eukaryota; Metazoa; Chordata; Actinopteri; Cyprinodontiformes; Poeciliidae
Source: RefSeq, a predicted model, not a curated record